UGGACUUACAAGUUUGGUAGAAAUCAGCAAAAAGACUUUGUAGGAGUAGGUCAAUAAAUAGACAGGCAGACAUGACCUUGGCCCAACUAAUGACCAUUUG
Long non-coding RNA from Thalassophryne amazonica, 100 nucleotides. RefSeq lists it as uncharacterized. Lineage: Eukaryota; Metazoa; Chordata; Actinopteri; Batrachoidiformes; Batrachoididae. The record is from RefSeq and is a predicted model, not a curated record. The transcript is spliced from 3 exons.